UACGUAGGGUGCGAGCGUUGUCCGGAAUUAUUGGGCGUAAAGGGCGCGUAGGCGGCCUGGCAAGUGGAAGGUGAAAUCCCUCGGCUUAACCGAGGAACUGCCCUCCAAACUGCUUGGCUUGAGUCCGGGAGAGGUGAGUGGAAUUCCCAGUGUAGCGGUGAAAUGCGUAGAUAUUGGGAGGAACACCAGUGGCGAAGGCGGCUCACUGGACCGGAACUGACGCUGAGACGCGAAAGCGUGGGGAGCGAACAGG
RNAcentral lists this ribosomal RNA (253 nucleotides) under uncultured bacterium. Its description in RNAcentral is "partial 16S ribosomal RNA". It matches the Rfam family "Bacterial small subunit ribosomal RNA", at positions 524 to 776 of the family's 1533-position model. The record is from RNAcentral.